Molecule: ribosomal RNA, 601 nt
Filed under: Stenotrophomonas sp.
Lineage: Bacteria; Pseudomonadati; Pseudomonadota; Gammaproteobacteria; Lysobacterales; Lysobacteraceae
Description: bacterial SSU rRNA
Rfam family: Bacterial small subunit ribosomal RNA
Source: RNAcentral
UAGGGAAACUUACGCUAAUACCGCAUACGACCUACGGGUGAAAGCAGGGGAUCUUCGGACCUUGCGCGAUUGAAUGAGCCGAUGUCGGAUUAGCUAGUUGGCGGGGUAAAGGCCCACCAAGGCGACGAUCCGUAGCUGGUCUGAGAGGAUGAUCAGCCACACUGGAACUGAGACACGGUCCAGACUCCUACGGGAGGCAGCAGUGGGGAAUAUUGGACAAUGGGCGCAAGCCUGAUCCAGCCAUACCGCGUGGGUGAAGAAGGCCUUCGGGUUGUAAAGCCCUUUUGUUGGGAAAGAAAUCCAGCCGGCUAAUACCCGGUUGGGAUGACGGUACCCAAAGAAUAAGCACCGGCUAACUUCGUGCCAGCAGCCGCGGUAAUACGAAGGGUGCAAGCGUUACUCGGAAUUACUGGGCGUAAAGCGUGCGUAGGUGGUCGUUUAAGUCCGUUGUGAAAGCCCUGGGCUCAACCUGGGAACUGCAGUGGAUACUGGGCGACUAGAGUGUGGUAGAGGGUAGCGGAAUUCCUGGUGUAGCAGUGAAAUGCGUAGAGAUCAGGAGGAACAUCCAUGGCGAAGGCAGCUACCUGGACCAACACUGACA